RNAcentral lists this ribosomal RNA (429 nucleotides) under uncultured Actinomycetes bacterium. Its description in RNAcentral is "bacterial SSU rRNA". It matches the Rfam family "Bacterial small subunit ribosomal RNA", at positions 32 to 453 of the family's 1533-position model. The record is from RNAcentral. Lineage: Bacteria; Bacillati; Actinomycetota; Actinomycetes.
GACAACGCUGGCGGUGCGCCUUAUGCUUGCAGUCGAGCGAAGCUUUUCAGUAGUUUACUACAGAAAAUGACUGAGCGAACGGGUGAGUACGCGUGAGCAAUCUACCUUAGUUACAGGGAUAGCCCGAGGAAACUCGGAUUAAUACCUGAUAUUCUUUAUUUCUCGCAUGAGAAUAAAAGGAAAGGUCAGCCGAACUAAGAUGAGCUCGCGUUCUAUCAGCUAGUUGGUGAGGUAAAAGCUUACCAAGGCUACGACGGAUAGCUGGUCUGAGAGGACGAUCAGCCACACUGGGACUGAGACACGGCCCAGACUCCUACGGGAGGCUGCAGCAGGGAAUAUUGUGCAAUGAACGAAAGUUUGACACAGCGACACCGCGUGUGGGAUGACGGAUCUCAGGUUUGUAAACCACUUUCAGGAGGGAAGAAAAAU